RNAcentral lists this ribosomal RNA (590 nucleotides) under uncultured Bacillus sp. RNAcentral's name for it is "bacterial SSU rRNA". It matches the Rfam family "Bacterial small subunit ribosomal RNA", at positions 8 to 580 of the family's 1533-position model. The record is from RNAcentral. Lineage: Bacteria; Bacillati; Bacillota; Bacilli; Caryophanales; Bacillaceae.
AGAGUUUGAUCCUGGCUCAGGACGAACGCUGGCGGCGUGCCUAAUACAUGCAAGUCGAGCGGACAGAUGGGAGCUUGCUCCCUGAUGUUAGCGGCGGACGGGUGAGUAACACGUGGGUAACCUGCCUGUAAGACUGGGAUAACUCCGGGAAACCGGGGCUAAUACCGGAUGCUUGUUUGAACCGCAUGGUUCAAACAUAAAAGGUGGCUUCGGCUACCACUUACAGAUGGACCCGCGGCGCAUUAGCUAGUUGGUGAGGUAAUGGCUCACCAAGGCGACGAUGCGUAGCCGACCUGAGAGGGUGAUCGGCCACACUGGGACUGAGACACGGCCCAGACUCCUACGGGAGGCAGCAGUAGGGAAUCUUCCGCAAUGGACGAAAGUCUGACGGAGCAACGCCGCGUGAGCGAUGAAGGUUUUCGGAUCGUAAAGCUCUGUUGUUAGGGAAGAACAAGUACCGUUCGAAUAGGGCGGUACCUUGACGGUACCUAACCAGAAAGCCACGGCUAACUACGUGCCAGCAGCCGCGGUAAUACGUAGGUGGCAAGCGUUGUCCGGAAUUAUUGGGCGUAAAGGGCUCGCAGGCGGUU